Molecule: ribosomal RNA, 468 nt
Filed under: uncultured bacterium
Lineage: Bacteria
Description: partial 16S ribosomal RNA
Rfam family: Bacterial small subunit ribosomal RNA
Source: RNAcentral
GACGAACGCUGGCGGCGUGCUUAACACAUGCAAGUCGAACGGAAAGGCCCUGCUUUUGUGGGGUGCUCGAGUGGCGAACGGGUGAGUAACACGUGAGUAACCUGCCCUUGACUUUGGGAUAACUUCAGGAAACUGGGGCUAAUACCGGAUAGGAGCUCCUGCUGCAUGGUGGGGGUUGGAAAGUUUCGGCGGUUGGGGAUGGUCUCGCGGCUUAUCAGCUGGUUGGGGGGGUAGUGGCUUACCAAGGUUUUGACGGGUAGCCGGCCUGAGAGGGUGACCGGCCACAUUGGGACUAAGAUACGGCCCAGACGCCUACGGGAGGCAGCAGUGGGGAAUAUUGCACAAUGGGCGGAAGCCUGAUGCAGCAACGCCGCGUGCGGGAUGACGGCCUUCGGGUUGUAAACCGCUUUCGCCUGUGACGAAGCGUGAGUGACGGUAAUGGGUAAAGAAGCACCGGCUAACUACGUG